GUGUGUGUGUGUGUGUGCGCGCUUUUGGCUCACCUUGGUACAACAAAUCCUUUUCAGAUUGAAUCACCAAAACUCAACAACUAUAAAAGU
Molecule: long non-coding RNA, 90 nt
Organism: Sinocyclocheilus anshuiensis
Lineage: Eukaryota; Metazoa; Chordata; Actinopteri; Cypriniformes; Cyprinidae
Exons: 3
Source: RefSeq, a predicted model, not a curated record